GGAGGGUAUAGCUCAGUGGUAGAGUGCUUGCUUCGCAUACACGAGGUCCUGGGUUCAAUCCCCAGUACCUCCA
This 73-nucleotide transfer RNA is filed under the name Vicugna pacos (alpaca). RNAcentral's name for it is "tRNA-Ala (CGC) (tRNA-Ala-CGC-15-1)". It matches the Rfam family "tRNA". Rfam says of the family: Transfer RNA (tRNA) molecules are approximately 80 nucleotides in length. Their secondary structure includes four short double-helical elements and three loops (D, anti-codon, and T loops). The record is from RNAcentral. Lineage: Eukaryota; Metazoa; Chordata; Mammalia; Artiodactyla; Camelidae.